This 552-nucleotide ribosomal RNA is filed under the name Triticum aestivum (bread wheat). RNAcentral describes it as "partial small subunit ribosomal RNA". Lineage: Eukaryota; Viridiplantae; Streptophyta; Magnoliopsida; Poales; Poaceae. The record is from RNAcentral.
AUGAGAUCGUCGUCGCCAGCGCAGGGGCACAAAGCUAGCAGUAGCAGAGAAACAGCAACAGCAGAUCGAAUGGCGCGAAGGGCGAGGCGACGACGGCGACGCGACGGGCUGGAGUGGAUCGGAACGGAUACCGCUCCUCCUCCUGUGGCCACCCACCGUCACGUGGACUCCGGAUCCGAACGCGCGAGCGCGACCGCGACUUUUCCACCACCGCCUUGUCCGCUGUCCGUACCCCAGUCCCCGUCGCGGUCCAUGCUCCCGCCGGGCCCUCCGGCAAGCGCGUGCGUGCACGACCGCGCCAAGUCAAGUGCGGAGAUCGACGGGGAAGGAAAUGAACCGAUGCGAUGCUCUAGCAGCGUCCGGCUCGCUGGCCGGGGAGCAGAUGGCGGGAUUGUGUGUCGACCACCGGCGGGCGUGCGGGUUCGCCGCUUUGCUUGGCGCUUAAGUCACGAAGACAGGGACGUGGCGCUGUGCAUGGAGCACGUACUACGUGCGUGCGUGCACCGGCCGGCUGCACGCUGGUGCAUCCAUCGCUGCCUAGCUCAAUACUAG